CCUACGGGUAGCAGCAGUGGGGAAUAUUGGACAAUGGGCGAAAGCCUGAUCCAGCCAUGCCGCGUGUGUGAAGAAGGCCUUCGGGUUGUAAAGCACUUUCAGUGGGGAAGAAAGCCUUGGGGCUAAUACCCUCGAGGAAGGACAUCACCCACAGAAGAAGCACCGGCUAACUCCGUGCCAGCAGCCGCGGUAAUACGGAGGGUGCGAGCGUUAAUCGGAAUUACUGGGCGUAAAGCGCGCGUAGGCGGUCUGAUAAGCCGGUUGUGAAAGCCCCGGGCUCAACCUGGGAACGGCAUCCGGAACUGUCAGGCUAGAGUGCAGGAGAGGAAGGUAGAAUUCCCGGUGUAGCGGUGAAAUGCGUAGAGAUCGGGAGGAAUACCAGUGGCGAAGGCGGCCUUCUGGACUGACACUGACGCUGAGGUGCGAAAGCGUGGGUAGCAAACAGGAUUAGAUACCCCAGUAUC
RNAcentral lists this ribosomal RNA (464 nucleotides) under Vreelandella stevensii. RNAcentral describes it as "partial 16S ribosomal RNA". It matches the Rfam family "Bacterial small subunit ribosomal RNA", at positions 338 to 794 of the family's 1533-position model. Lineage: Bacteria; Pseudomonadati; Pseudomonadota; Gammaproteobacteria; Oceanospirillales; Halomonadaceae. The record is from RNAcentral.